Molecule: unclassified non-coding RNA, 202 nt
Filed under: Hevea brasiliensis (rubber tree)
Lineage: Eukaryota; Viridiplantae; Streptophyta; Magnoliopsida; Malpighiales; Euphorbiaceae
Source: RNAcentral
UCCCGUCUUCUGAUUCCUCUCAACUUCACGAAUCUAACCGCCCAUAUGCUUCCCACAGGCAAUCGAUCAAACACCUGACCGAGGAGAUUGACGAUCUCCUGGGGAGGAGAGGUGAGGAAGAGAGCCGGCGGAACGGGGUGGCGCGGCGGCGCCGCGUCGGAUUCCGGUGGUUCGGGAGGAGGAGGAAAGGAGGGGGGAGGAG